This 557-nucleotide ribosomal RNA is filed under the name Petrakia echinata. Its description in RNAcentral is "eukaryotic LSU rRNA". It matches the Rfam family "Eukaryotic large subunit ribosomal RNA", at positions 78 to 651 of the family's 3401-position model. Lineage: Eukaryota; Fungi; Ascomycota; Dothideomycetes; Pleosporales; Melanommataceae. The record is from RNAcentral.
CCUCAGUAACGGCGAGUGAAGCGGCAAUAGCUCAAAUUUGAAAUCUGGCUCUUUCAGGGUCCGAGUUGUAAUUUGCAGAGGGCGCUUUGGAGUCGGCAGCAGCCUAAGUUCCUUGGAACAGGUCAUCAUAGAGGGUGAGAAUCCCGUAUGUGGCUGCUUGCCUUCGCCGUGUAAAGCCCCUUCGAUGAGUCGAGUUGUUUGGGAAUGCAGCUCUAAAUGGGAGGUAAAUUUCUUCUAAAGCUAAAUAUUGGCCAGAGACCGAUAGCGCACAAGUAGAGUGAUCGAAAGAUGAAAAGCACUUUGGAAAGAGAGUCAAAAAGCACGUGAAAUUGUUGAAAGGGAAGCGCUUGCAGCCAGACGUGCCCGUAGUUGCUCAUCUGGGGUUCUCCCCAGUGCACUCUUCUAUGGGCAGGCCAGCAUCAGUCCGGGCGGUUGGAGAAAGACCUGUGUCACGUAGCUCUCUUCGGGGAGUGUUAUAGGGCAGGUGGAAUGCAACCAGCCUGGACUGAGGUCCGCGCAUCUGCUAGGAUGCUGGCGUAAUGGCUGUAAGCGGCCCG